This 1142-nucleotide unclassified non-coding RNA is filed under the name Hevea brasiliensis (rubber tree). Lineage: Eukaryota; Viridiplantae; Streptophyta; Magnoliopsida; Malpighiales; Euphorbiaceae. The record is from RNAcentral.
CUGGCCCUUCAUUGAUCUUUCGUAUGAAGAUCCGUCCAUCAAUGCAUGUGCUGGCCAGAAGGUGAACAUCCUCAGCAAAGAACACCAUAUCUGUUACUUUCUGGUUAUGGCCACGAAGCAAGGAUCUCAAGGCAGUGUUAAUAUUGAGGAUGCGAAUUGCUCCAGGCUUAAGUCCAUAGCAAAUGUAAUUUCUAUUGACAGCAAUCUGACGGCCAAGUAUAAGACCAGGGUCGGAGACGUACUUGGUGAUGGGAGUAACUUCGAGUUGUGGCUGCACCUCGCCUUGCAAUCUGACGUCAAUAUCAUACACAACAUGGUUGCCAAUCAAAUGGCGGCCUUUGGGGAGCUUGCUGCUGAGCAUCCUCACUGGCGUUGGGCUCGGCUGCUGCAGCUGAUGAGUUGGGGAUGCCAAACUGACAGGCGGAGCAGAAGGGAUGGGAGCACUGAAGUUGGAUACAGCCAAUGAAGAAGAGGGGGAAGAGAAGGGCAUGGUCAGAUUGGUGGAGAGAGGAGGUUGUUGCUGCUGCAGGUUCUGAUUGGUGAGGAUGUCCAUCAAUACACCACUGGGAUUUGGGUUAUUAGGCGAGAAUGGAGGGGGAGAAGGAGCAGUAGAAGGUGCAGCAACGGCAAGAGCAGCAGGAGGAGGAAAAGAAGAAAUGGGUUGAGGUCUAUUCUGCUGUUGCAUAUUAGCGAGGAACUGAUUGUGAUGCUGUUGAAGUUGUGGAAGAGGUGGAGGUGGAUAAGGAGAGAGGUAGUGAGGGUGAUAAGGAUGGUAAGGCCCAGUGGGAGGAGGAUAAGAGGAAGAUGGGGUUAAAUAGGGAGGAGAAGAUGGAGGAAGAGAGGAAGGGAGAGGGAAGGAAGGAGAAGUUGUGAGAUUGCCAAUAGCUGGGUUAGAGUUGCUGGGACUCAAAGGGGGCUGAGGCUGCUGCUGUUGUGGUGGGUUUGAUGGUUGCAUCAUAUUCAUAGGGCUUGAAGAUGGCUUGAACAGCUUAUUCACAUCAAAGACACCACCUCCUUGAUUUGGAGGAUUACCAGGUGAAGCCAUUAAUCAAUAACAGCAACAAAAAGUGAUCUACGAAUUCAGAUUAAUUAGAUUGACUAUGAGCGUAAAAGGAGAUUUGAAGCUUACGCAUAAGAAUUCA